ACUCUACUAAAUUGUGGAUUCUUGAAGGACAGGAUCAUGCUGCUUGCAUCUCUGUAUCCUUCAUGGCUAAGGAGAGUAUCCGGAACAUAGUAGGAUCUCAGUAUCUCUUCAUGGAAUUUACACGUCCAUUUGGCCUCUGAAAACCACAUCCUCUCCUCUACAGCUUGUCUACUUUCUUUUCCUGAGGCCAACUGUUAGGAAAUGAUGUUCUAAGGUACUUUGAAAAAUGUUUAAUUCAAUGAUAAAGAGCCUGCCCAAGAGUUUAAAAUACAAUAAAAACAAGAACGUACAUCAAUUGUUGAUCCCAUCUGAUGGCAGUCUGUCCUUGAGCAUAUAGCUAAAAGGAUUUUCUCUGUAUCAAGUGGCACAACUACGGUGGACAUUCUGGAAACCAGGACUCUCAUGUCUUCUGCUAGCAUGUCAAAAACUGUGAAGAGUCUGAAAUUUUACUCUACUUGCAAGCAGUCUCACUCUAUCUCCCAGGCUGGAGUGGAAUGGCGCGAUCUCGGCUCACUGCAACCUCCACCUCCCGGGUUUAAGUGAUUCUUCUGCCUCAGCCUCCCGAGUAGCUGGAACUAGAGGCGCCUGCCACCAUGCCCGGCUAAUUUUUGUAUUUUUAGUAGAUAUGGGGUUUCACCAUAUUGGCCAGGAUGGUCUCGAACUCCUGACUUCGUGAUUUGCCUGCCUCGGCUUCCCAACGUGCUGAGAUUACAGGCAUGAGCCACUGUGCCUGGCCAACUGAAUGUUUUAAAUUAUGCUGUAUCUCUUAAAACACUUAAAAAUAAAAUCUUAUGAAUCACCGAUUUAUUAAUACAAGGCAACUAACAACAAAGAGCCUAGAGAGACUUUAGGUCUCUUUCUUAAAGAAGUUCAUAAUUUAAUAACCUCUCUGGGCUUCAUUUUCUUUAUCUUUAAAGUAAGGACACUGAACUUGACUUUCUCCAAGAUUCCCCAAGGGAGGUUCCAAGGCUUUCUAAUACAGUCAUGUUAUAUGUUAUAUAACCAAGCACUCAGAGCAGUUCCUGGCCAUUUGUGAGGAAGGAGAAUAGGAUCUGGAGGCAGGGAACCUAUGACUGAUUUGCACUAACUUCCUAGAACGAAUCGAAAGGAAAACCCCACCUCUCCACACCAAAGUAACAAAAGGAUCAGAGGCUACUCUUUUUGCACUUCAUCGUAGAGGAAAAAUGAAAAGUACCUCUGAUUGUUUCCUUCCCACAACCAAUCAGACUGGUGGCAGGCCUAGUCUUCAUUUGCAUGUAACUUUGUAACUUUACUUCAUCCUCUGAUUGGUCCCCUCCCACAACCAAUCAGACUGGUCACAGGCUACAUCUUCAUUUACAGAGAGUGUAACCAAGUAACCAAUGGGAAACCUCUAGAGGGUGUUUAAACCCCAGAAAAUUCUGUAACCAGCACUCUUGAGCUGCUUGCUCGAGCCUACUCCCACUCUGUGGAGUGUACUUUUGUUUCAAUAAAUCUAUGCUUUUAUUGCUUCAUC
Molecule: long non-coding RNA, 1495 nt
Filed under: Homo sapiens (human)
Lineage: Eukaryota; Metazoa; Chordata; Mammalia; Primates; Hominidae
Description: non-protein coding lnc-TLE4-11:1
Source: RNAcentral